GGACCUGUAGCAUAACUGGAUAGUGCACCUGACUACGGAUCAGGAGGUUGGGGGUUCGAAUCCCUCCAGGUUCA
Molecule: transfer RNA, 74 nt
Filed under: Bacteroidota bacterium
Lineage: Bacteria; Pseudomonadati; Bacteroidota
Also listed under: 2 other names
Description: tRNA-Arg
Rfam family: tRNA
About the family: Transfer RNA (tRNA) molecules are approximately 80 nucleotides in length. Their secondary structure includes four short double-helical elements and three loops (D, anti-codon, and T loops).
Source: RNAcentral